RNAcentral lists this ribosomal RNA (429 nucleotides) under Acidobacteriota bacterium. Its description in RNAcentral is "Acidobacteria bacterium partial 16S ribosomal RNA". It matches the Rfam family "Bacterial small subunit ribosomal RNA", at positions 355 to 776 of the family's 1533-position model. Lineage: Bacteria; Pseudomonadati; Acidobacteriota. The record is from RNAcentral.
UGGGGAAUUUUGGACAAUGGGGGAAACCCUGAUCCAGCCAUCCCGCGUGUGCGAUGAAGGCCUUCGGGUUGUAAAGCACUUUUGGCAGGAAAGAAACGUCAUGGGUUAAUACCCCGUGAAACUGACGGUACCUGCAGAAUAAGCACCGGCUAACUACGUGCCAGCAGCCGCGGUAAUACGUAGGGUGCAAGCGUUAAUCGGAAUUACUGGGCGUAAAGCGUGCGCAGGCGGUUCGGAAAGAAAGAUGUGAAAUCCCAGAGCUCAACUUUGGAACUGCAUUUUUAACUACCGGGAUAGAGUGUGUCAGAGGGAGGUGAAAUUCCGCGUGUAGCAGUGAAAUGCGUAGAUAUGCGGAGGAACACCGAUGGCGAAGGCAGCCUCCUGGGAUAACACUGACGCUCAUGCACGAAAGCGUGGGGAGCAAACAGG